Molecule: ribosomal RNA, 254 nt
Filed under: uncultured bacterium
Lineage: Bacteria
Description: partial 16S ribosomal RNA
Rfam family: Bacterial small subunit ribosomal RNA
Source: RNAcentral
GACGAACCGUGCGAACGUUAUUCGGAAUCACUGGGCUUAAAGCGCGUGUAGGUGGGGUGGCACGUCGGUCGCUGAAAGCCCCCGGCUCAACCGGGGAAGGGGCGCCGAUACGACCACCCUGGAGGGACGUAGGGGGACCUGGAACUUCCGGUGGAGCGGUGAAAUGCGUUGAGAUCGGAAGGAACGCCCGUGGCGAAAGCGAGGUCCUGGACGUUUACUGACGCUGAGACGCGAAAGCCAGGGGAGCGAACGGG